RNAcentral lists this unclassified non-coding RNA (588 nucleotides) under Hevea brasiliensis (rubber tree). The record is from RNAcentral. Lineage: Eukaryota; Viridiplantae; Streptophyta; Magnoliopsida; Malpighiales; Euphorbiaceae.
AGUAUAUUUAAAAAAGUGAUUUUAUCAACAGCAGUUUCACCAGCAAUGUCAAACUGGCCCUUAGUUAAACAAACUAAUUUUCUAUAAGGAAACAAUUUAAUAGGACUUGUAUGGAUUUCUUUGAGCUGUGUUUGUUUCAGAACUUGCAAAUAUGACUGCAACCGGUUAUCGCUUCUAAGGUCCAAGGCAAAGCAUAUGUGUUGUGCCUUGUUAUAUGAGGUUUAGAGAUGAAUCAUAGACGUAAGCUGCCAAACCUGAACAUAAAGGUGAUGCCCUCUUGUGGUCAAGUGUGGCAAUUUGCCUGGUAAGUGGUAAUAACCACAUGCCAGUGCUUGAUUAUUGGAAUAUUGCGCGCGCAGAACUAAACUGGUCCCUGUUUCUUUCAGCUUAGCUCAUAAAACACGGUGAGUGAUGGUGACUCCUGAAUUCCUUGACUUGCUUAACUGACUGAAGGUUUGUUUGGCGUAGGAAGAGGACUACAAGCGAUUUGAAGAGUCUUUGAAAGAUGAAAAUGGCACCAGGGAUGCUAAGGAGGACAACAUUAACGCCACCCUUAAUGGUACAAAAGAUGAAAACAAGAAGGAAGUG